This 1745-nucleotide long non-coding RNA is filed under the name Daphnia magna. RNAcentral's name for it is "uncharacterized LOC116928330, transcript variant X9". The record is from RNAcentral. Lineage: Eukaryota; Metazoa; Arthropoda; Branchiopoda; Diplostraca; Daphniidae.
CGCAGUUUAGCUGCAUCCAGCGAGAUACUAGUAGAACCCGAAACAUUGUUUUGACAAGUACUGUCACAUUUCGGUUGCAGGUUUUCACUAAAUACCAAGGUGAUGCGCUAUUAUUCCGUGUUUUUUUUUUCGCUAUCAACAGUACAGUCUGAGCAACCACAGUUUUAGCUAUAAAUAUUUUAGCGCCUCGUCUUGCAACUAGUAGUUGAUAUUCUAGGUUUUUAAUAUUUAUAAUUGGAAUCAACUGUCUGAGGUUAGUAAAGUUCAAGUACUUAAAAGCAUGAAUUAUACUGAUUUAAAAAUAAAAUCUAUUUUCGUUGAGUUUCAGGACGAAAAACUAGAUGGCGGUGAAGUGCAUUUUGAUAAAGAUCACGAAUGACAAGUAAAAUGCGUGUUAGUAUCGUCAUGGUAUAAUAACUAUUAUACCAUGGUAUCGUAAUAUAAUAGUAUCGUAAUGUAUUUUUUAUUAAUUUCACGGGAUGCUGAUUUGUGUGUGUGUUUUUGUUUAGGUAAUCAAUCAAUGCUAGCUGUUCUACAUACACUUGGUGAAUAAUGAUUCACUGAGAAAUCCAGUCUCACCUCUUCACCAGUCCAUCGUGGCACUUUUCAUUUCUGUGCAAGUGCCCUUCUAACUUUUGAUAUAGCAAGGUGGAGAGAAAACUGGGAUUUUUGAGUUGUUUGCUAUUGUCCCUUUUCUCGGUUUUUUUUUUAUUAUUAAACUUUUAAUCUUCUGCAAAAGGCAUGGAUUAAUCCUUGGAAGAAUUCCUUGUCGCACUAAAGUUCACAAAAUACAAAUCAGUGUAUAAUUGACAUUGUGACAAAUGAUGGGUAUGUAGCAUGAAGUUGUUGAUAUGGUUUUCUAAAAUCUGGUUUAUUUAGAUACAACAGAAGGUUAAGACUCACUACAUUGAACUCACUCCCCAAUAAAAUAAAAAUAACUACCUGUCAAAAUGUUGCCAACAGUUAUUCUUGAAGUCUUGAUUUUCUAUUGAAGAAAAGGUUCCCCUGUUUUGACCACAGCCUCUUUGGAUCAAGGUGUUGCUUGGCUUGCAAGAAUAUGAAAUGUAAUUGAACCAUGGAAUUGUAUGUAAUUGAUACGAAAUGUAAAACAGAAUAUCGUGAAGAAUUCAUGCCGUAAGGUGGAAAAGUGCUAUGCGGUGGACUCCUUAGUCAAUUUUUUUUUAAAUAUUGAUGAUACUUCAUUUUUCUAUUGCUUCAGAUAAAAAGCAUCAAUUCCAUCAAAUGUUAUGGGAGUCAUGUUUGCUUCUAAGGCCGAAAACCGAAACGAAACCAAUUAAAACAGAUAUGGCUACCUGAUAUUAGUGAUAUGUCAUGUCUAUACGGUCAAAAAGAAGUCUGAGUGCUCUUUAAAGGAAUUUUGCUGCACCGAGCUAGGACUUUUCCGGAGUGUAAAUUGUGAUUCCCCAUGGGUUUUCUUAAGAAGCCAGUUCACGUUGACGCAGUAAGAGCUUCUAAUUCUAUCCAAUCCAAUGCCAGAGUUCGUACGUUGUGGUACUUUUAACCAUUAUAUGCAUAAAUUCAAGUGCCCCCUGAUUUAAGUUUUCUUAUUCAUUCGUGAUUUCGUAUGCCAACCAACCAUGAAAGAUGUCAUGUAACUAUAUUUUCACGUGUCAGAAAAUUUUACGCAGAUAGAGAUACUGCAUUUUCGAAGAAAGCUACUUUCACAUCACCGUUGGUCGCUGCUUCGCCGCGAAGAUAAAAUAUUAACAUUUUUACAAAUUAAA